This 224-nucleotide long non-coding RNA is filed under the name Solanum tuberosum (potato). RNAcentral's name for it is "long non-coding RNA (STUB_LNC010704)". Lineage: Eukaryota; Viridiplantae; Streptophyta; Magnoliopsida; Solanales; Solanaceae. The record is from RNAcentral.
GGUCUGGCUCGUUUUCUUCUUCUUUGCUUCGGCUCAUUGGAGUUUGAAACUCCUCACUGGAGCUGUUGUCGGUGUUCGCUGGAAAAAGAACAAACGAAUGGGGUUUUGGGUUGAGCUCGCUGCUUGGAGCUCGGCGAAGUUAAUGGUGAAACAAAGAGACGGGGCAGCGCUAGUGGAAUUGGAGUUUUGGUCUGAUGGCAGGAGAUUUUGGUGGUGGUUCCGAC